AAGAAGAAAGGAAGGAAGACAAGAAAGAGAAGGAGAAGAAGGAAGACCACCACAAAGAAGAGAAGGAAGAGAGGAAGGAAGAAGAGAAGAAAGAGGAGAAGAAGAAAGAUGAGAAGCAUGAAGAGAAGAAGAAAGAUGAGAAGCAUGAAGAGAAGAAGAAAGAGGAGAAGCAUGAAGAGAAGAAUGAGCAGAAGCAUGAACCGAAGCAGUAUGAAGAAAAGAAGAAAGAGGAGAAGAAGGAGAACAAGAAGGAGGACAAGGAGGAGAAGAAACCAGAGGAGACGAGAGAAUAUCGAAGUGUGG
RNAcentral lists this long non-coding RNA (303 nucleotides) under Selaginella moellendorffii. RNAcentral's name for it is "long non-coding RNA (SMOE_LNC000663)". Lineage: Eukaryota; Viridiplantae; Streptophyta; Lycopodiopsida; Selaginellales; Selaginellaceae. The record is from RNAcentral.